Molecule: ribosomal RNA, 446 nt
Filed under: Odontepyris muesebecki
Lineage: Eukaryota; Metazoa; Arthropoda; Insecta; Hymenoptera; Bethylidae
Description: partial 16S ribosomal RNA
Source: RNAcentral
ACAUGGUUUUUUGAUUAUAAUUUAAAGUUGUCUCUGCCCAAUGAUUUAAUUAAAUGGCCGCAGUAUUUUGACUGUGCUAAGGUAGCAUAAUCAAUAGUUUUUUAAAUGAGAACUAGAAUGAAAGAGUUGAUAAAAUAUAUACUUUAUUUAAUUAAAAUUUUGAAUUUAAAUUUUUAGUAAAAAUGCUAAAAUUUAUUUAUGGGACGAGAAGACCCUUUAGAAUUUUAUAUAUAAGUUUGUAUAAAUUUUUAUUUUUAUUUUUAUAUAAAUUUAUAUAUUUUAUUGGGAGGAUAGUUAAAUUUAUUUAACUUUAAUAUUUUAUUUUACAAUAAUUAUUGAUUGUAUGAUUUUAUUUAAUUAAUUAAUAGAUUAAAUUACCUAAGGGAUAACAGCGUAAUAUUUUUGGAGAGUUCAUAUUGAUAAAAAUGUUGGCGACCUCAUUUUUA